Molecule: long non-coding RNA, 821 nt
Filed under: Homo sapiens (human)
Lineage: Eukaryota; Metazoa; Chordata; Mammalia; Primates; Hominidae
Description: long intergenic non-protein coding RNA 1821
Source: RNAcentral
AGAAGAAAUCUUCCUUUGAGGGCAGUGAUACACUUAUGUGAGAUUUUGAAAAGUGAAAAAUCAAAGGUGGAAUUGACCAGUAGAUGUAAAAGUACAACAAAUAAACAAAAAUGGCAAUGUUGAAAGUGAAACUGAAAUUCAACAGAAAUAAAAGAAAUAGCAGACUGGGGGGAUAUUGACUUUGACACCAUGAUGCCAGAGGAACUUAGUGAUGGCAAACUUAUCAAUAUAAAAUGAGGAUAUUGGUUGUCAACUAGGUUGUGUGGUGGUCCUUGAUCUUGUCCAUCAAGUCCUUUUUCCCAAAGGAUAACUGAAGAAGAUCACAUACAUUCCAACUUAUUGAGUCUGAUAGGUAUUCAUCUGAUGAGCUCCUCUUCAACUGAGGAUUGAAAUGCUGUUUUUCUUCCCUGGUACAAUGUUAAAGCUUUAAACUCUUGUCAAUGAUGUGAUGUUUCAUCUGCAAUGAUCUACACUAGAAAAAUAAAAAUGUAGUUACUGACAAAAAAGCAGGCAGAUUUAUAAAGGAAGCUGCUGGAAGGAAUUCAUUCCCUUUUUGCUGUUCUGCCUUCCACCUUCCACUGUGUGAGGACACUGCAAGAAAGCCCUCAUCAGACACCAACUGCCAGCACCUAGAUCUUGGAAUUCUCAGCCUCCAGAACUGUGAGAAACACGUUUCUGUUUUUCUAUAAAAUAAUAAUAAUAAAAAACUUCCAUGCAGGAAAAAAAAUCAAGUUCAAAGGUCCUGUGGUGAGGGCAUACCAGCUUUGUUUGAGAAGCAGUAAUCAUGCCUGUGUGACUGUAAUGAAAGAAUAAAAGAGAAA